GACGAACGCUGGCGGCGUGCUUAACACAUGCAAGUCGAGCGGUAAGGCCCUUUCGGGGGUACACGAGCGGCGAACGGGUGAGUAACGCGUGGGUGACCUGCCCUCAGCUCUGGGAUAAGCCUGGGAAACCGGGUCUAAUACCGGAUAUGACUCCAUGACGCAUGUUGUGGGGUGGAAAGCCUUGUGCGGCUGAGGAUGGGCCCGCGGCCUAUCAGCUUGUUGGUGGGGUGAUGGCCUACCAAGGCGACGACGGGUAGCCGGCCUGAGAGGGCGACCGGCCACACUGGGACUGAGACACGGCCCAGACUCCUACGGGAGGCAGCAGGUGGGGAAUCUUGCGCAAUGGGCGAAAGCCUGACGCAGCGACGCCGCGUGAGGGAUGACGGCC
Molecule: ribosomal RNA, 388 nt
Filed under: uncultured bacterium
Lineage: Bacteria
Description: bacterial SSU rRNA
Rfam family: Bacterial small subunit ribosomal RNA
Source: RNAcentral